Molecule: long non-coding RNA, 1841 nt
Filed under: Homo sapiens (human)
Lineage: Eukaryota; Metazoa; Chordata; Mammalia; Primates; Hominidae
Description: HSALNT0309604
Source: RNAcentral
AAAAAACCCAACCCGGUGAAAAGAAACUACACUCUAUGAGGAAGACACCAUCACCAUGGGUGCAAGCAGGAAGAAUGCUAAAACCAUCACUGUCUUGCCCUCCAGAGCUCGGAUCUCUGGCUUUCCUGACCUUCCCCUGGGGAAGCUGAGGGGCCUGCUGGUCACAGGACCCCUGGUGACCAUGUUCAGGUCUGGCCAGAAAGAAGAUGGGCAUGGAAACUGGGGCAGUGUCAAGCGGAAGCUACUUCGUCCAGGAGGGAUGAAAGGGACAGAGGCUGCUUCUCUUGGAGAAAAGAAGACUUGAGGCUGCCCACUGCCCACCACACUAUGGCCAAUGAAUUCUCGCCAGGUGGAAUGGACUCUAGCCAGCUUGGAGAAGCCUGUGUGCAAAGCCAUUCUCAACUUCCCAAGGUACCUCCAUCGCCCCCACCCCGAGUGUUUCUGGGUUGCCUAAACAUUUUGAAUGCUCGUGGCAUCAAACCCUGGUCCCGCCUUGUCCCCACUGCCUGAUACACAACACCUGCGGAUGCCACUCUGUGUUUUUGGUGAUUGACAGCCUGCAGAGUGUGUUUCCACACCUGACUGACACACAGUGCCCGGGGCCUCCACAGCCUGAUGCCCUCCCUGUGUGGGGUGCUCCCUGUCGUCACUGGACAGGUGGAGUGGGACAUGUAUCCCGGGUCCUGGAGAAGCCUGGCUCUCUUGUUGCCUUCCUCCUGGGAGUCCCCUUCCCACGGCAGCCUCUGACACAGCUGGACCCGGCUACAUGGCCCACCCUGGUCUAGGGGCCUUUCUUUUGUGUUCUUUUUUCUCCUUCUUUCUUUGCAGGUGCAUGUGUCUGAAUUCCGAGAAGUUUCCUAUGUGUCGGGGUCUAGGCUCCCUCCCCACCCUGGGCCCCUCCCGGGUGUCUGGUUUGACGUGGCCUCCCAGGACUGACACCGAUGUUCCAGGCAGGGGAAACAAUGGCAGAGGCCUCGUUGGCCGUACAGACGCCGGCAUCCCCACCCACAGUGGGUUUUGAUGGACUCUGGGCGCUAGUGAGGUGUCUGUCUGUGUUCCUCACUGUAGCACAUGGAACCGAAAACUGCUCUGAAAAAUAGUCUAUGUAAAAAAGAAAAGGUUCUGCAGCCUAUGUGCAUGUCGCUCCUCAGCCUGCAGCUGCGUCCGCACGCAGUGGAAGGUGAGCCUGGCCUCUUCAUGGACGACCCACUCAAGACUCAGGGCACUGGCCUCCCACCGUGUCCAUACCCGAGGCUGCACUGGAGCCGCUAAAUCCUGUGUCCCUCUCCCCAUGUCCUUACUCCUCUCUUUCCUCUCCCCCUCCUUUUUGAUUAGCCCUGUUUUAGGGGCCAGAUGUAGGCCUUGGGUUAUCCUUACUGAUAUUCACCUUGUAAAAUGAGACUAACAUAUGUAUUACACUAAUUGUACAUCUCUCUCUCUCUCUCUCUCUCUCUCUCUGUGUGUGUGUGUGUGUUUUAAAUCAACCACAAAUAGCAGCAAUGUCUUUGUCUGGGUUAUUAAUCAGGAAGAGAAGUCUUCUUCUAUGAGCUACAGAAACAUACCUUUUAUGAACUACAGAAAUUGGCCAGGCACCUCUGCUGACACCUGGACUAGCUGUCUACACCACCACACACCACAUCUGGGCAAGAGCCCUUGGUGUGCUGCCAUAAGGCUGCUGGCUGUGAGCCCACAGAGGAGCCGGGUGGAUGGUACUGGGGCACAAGAGCAUCGAGGGUCCCUUUUGUCCAGAUGCUGCAGACCACUGUGGGCCACGUGUCCUACAGCUGACACUGCCUCGGCCCCGUUCUCCCAGGUCCUCACUCUAACUCAGCCCUCAGGGG